RNAcentral lists this ribosomal RNA (263 nucleotides) under uncultured bacterium. Its description in RNAcentral is "partial 16S ribosomal RNA". It matches the Rfam family "Bacterial small subunit ribosomal RNA", at positions 92 to 354 of the family's 1533-position model. The record is from RNAcentral.
UUAGUGGCGGACGGGUGAGUAACGCGUGGAAAACCUGCCGUAUACUGGGGGAUAACACUUAGAAAUAGGUGCUAAUACCGCAUAAGCGCACAGCUUCGCAUGAAGCGGUGUGAAAAAACUCUGGUGGUAUACGAUGGUUCCGCGUCUGAUUAGCUAGUUGGUGGGGUAAUGGCCUACCAAGGCAACGAUCAGUAGCCGGCCUGAGAGGGUGAACGGCCACAUUGGGACUGAGACACGGCCCAAACUCCUACGGAAGGCAGCAG